Mercenaria mercenaria is the source of this 3854-nucleotide long non-coding RNA. RefSeq lists it as uncharacterized. The record is from RefSeq and is a predicted model, not a curated record. Lineage: Eukaryota; Metazoa; Mollusca; Bivalvia; Venerida; Veneridae. The transcript is spliced from 3 exons.
CGUGCAUUUCAAAAUAGGUAGUAAACAUUUAGAUAAAUAGAAAAGAAAGCUCUAACAUUAUAUCAAAUAAUACAAUACAGUGGUCUGCUUAAAUUGUUCGAAAUGGGAUUACGAAUUCGUUUAAUAAAUGUGUUCGUUUUUAUAACAGUUAUUGCACUAUUACUGCAAGAAUAUCAAGUUGAAUGUCGCGGAGGGCGUGGUGGAGGCCGUGCCAGGUACAGGGGCGGAGGUGGAUCCAGAGGUUCUGGUGGUGGAGGAGGCCCAUGGUGGAUGUAUGUGGCCAUAUUUGGAGGAAUAUUCGCGUUUGUGGCAGGCAUUUUUAUUGUCAUAUAUAUCUACAAGAAAUGUCGAUAGCUGUACAUAAACUGUCCAUAUUUAAUGACGCAGUAGUACAUAUAUAUAGUUCUAAAAGACAAACUCGUACUCUGCAUGUUAAUACCAGUGGCAAUAACAGAGCUUCGUUCCAUUAGUCGUGCGUAGUUUUUCGUGAAAUCAUGCAUCACACUUCAUACUUGUUGAGUGUUUCUUAUCAUGUGUGUGUGUAUGUUAACCAAUUUGAAGACAUUUUAGUGUCUCAAGAAAGCUGAAGAACAGACACAAACCGAGUCUGCUAUUAUUCUUCUUGGUUGCAUUUUUUGUUCCCAAAGGAUCUUUUUACACAUUUAAUUACAUAUUGAUCUAAUCAUAUUUCAUUACCUUUUACAAACCAUUACAUUAUCAUACAUAACACGCACAUAUACAAAAGCAAAUAGUUUGGGCUACAAGCUAUUUCAAAGUAUUAUUUGUUGUUCCACCAGCUAAAUAUAUAAAACGAUUUUACGUUUAACUUAUUGGAAUUUCUUUUUUCACAUCAAAUCAAUAUCACGUUUUCAACGUGUUAAGAUGUGGAAGGACCUGAAUAUAAAACUCAUUUUGUCAUCUUUGCAUGUCUCCUGAAAAUGGAAUAGAUAUACCAAAAAUAUGACAAGUCAGUUACAUCGGAUGCAUAACAGAUGAUCCGCCAAACAAGUAUUGAAUGGCUCUCUUGCUGUAUAGUUAUUUUAUAUAAAUACUGUAAAAUUUAUAUUUGUAACUUUCAAGCCUUUAAAGUUUUUUAUUUCAUGUGAUAGCUAAACCAUACAGUCGUAGGAGUCAGGAGUAAUGAUGUCAAUGUAGAAACAGCUUGCUGGAGUUACGCCUAUAUUAUGAGAAAUAUGUCAGAACAAACAAAAGGACAGGAGCAAGGUUAAAUCUGAUUAUGCAAUAUACUUAUGAUAUAGCCUUUUGCUGACACAUCUAACAAUUGUUUAAGAAAGUGCUUAAAUUUGUUCAGGUAUUUUAAGUAGAAGUAUAAAUCUUUUACAUACUUGAUUUAAUUCUAAAUAUGUUAAAAACCUUUAAGGCGUUUUACUGUAUAUUAAAGACUGAUAAAGCGGAUAUCAAAAUGUGGACAAUUACAGAAAUAGAAAAGCAAUAUGUCCAUAUUGCACAUGAACUUCUACCGCAUAUAGCCAUAACGGGGGGUAAUCAAAAAUAGUGGAUUAUAAGACUUUCUACUAUGAAAUUGAAACCUUUGGCAUUUAACUGAGGAAACAAUUCGCGAAAAUAUCAUUUAAGAAGUUGUUAAAUUAUAUCAUGCUUGAAGCAAAAAAUGACAGCUACACUACCUCAAGAAACAUUAUGCCUCAUUUAUGUUUACGUAAGACAUAUUAACACUUUUAUUAGAUUUAAUUGAAAUAUAUUUAUGACUUGUAAAAAUGAGUGUGAAAAUCAUUUUCUUCCUGUUGUCGGAAAUAUGUUAAUGUAAGACUGUGAAUAAAUUAUAGUCUUUCAUUUUACGAGUAAACAUGUUUGCAUGUCUGUCGAUGUCUGCAUGUGUGAUAUUAUUUUAUUUUACGCAUUUGUAUUUUAUAUGAGCGGCUGCAUUCUCUUAAUGUGGCUUUUGCUGCAGGACUUUUUUCUUGGGUUUAAAUAAACUGAUAUUUUAAAACUUGACAAAACAUUGUUUUGGUUGUUUGUGUGACUCCUUAACUUAUGGCCCAAAAGAAGGGGUCAUUUACUGACCACAGGCAGGCAAACAUCCUUUUAAACUUACUUUCUUUUUCAUAUUGUGUAUUAUCAUGUCCAAUGCAGCCUGCAAAAUUCAUUUUCAUUUGUGCAGAAAAUGAUUUUUGCGAUAUAAAACUGCCGAAUUCCAAAUAACAGUACUCCUUUCUUCUAAUUCAUAACACAAACUUCAUCAAAGUAAAAAUGCAGUGUCUAAUUUAUUUACUUUUUAGACUAGUUUAAAGCAUUGUUGCACGACAUCUUGUCUUAAAUGAGCUUAUUAAAAUGUUGAGAUGUCUUCGUUGGGUGUUGUAUACUAGUAUGUAACAGUUUCUGUGUUGAUGUCGAUUGUUUAGUUACAGUUAGAAGGCGAGGUUUUGCCAAAAGUAAGUCUUGAUUCAUGGUCUCCUAGUAAAGAAAACCCCAUAUUUUAUUUUCAAUCUUCAUAUAUCAUAUCAUCAAAUGAAUAUAUGACAAGGGCUAGUAGACCAGUGCAAUGAUCCAUUUAUUCUGAACUAUCACGAUUUUAGCAAAAAGAACUGUUAUGGUGUGCAUACAUAGUAACAAAAUAUAACCAUUACUGAAGUAUGAAAAGCAGCUAACUUGCUCUUAAUUGUACCUAGACACUGCCUGCCAAAGACAAUUCAUCAUUUUAACAAAAGAAGGAUAGAAGCCAGCUUACUUGAAAAACAGCAUUUGUUUAAGUCCUUCUAUGGAACACGUAACUUUAGAAAAUAUGAUUGCAUUUUGGAUCAACAGUAAAGACAAAACGUGUAUUGUUUGAAAAUAAAAAUUGAAAUCACAAUUACUUUCCGUAUUAAACAUGUAUAUUGUAACACUAAAUAACAACAAAUACACUUAAAUAAAUCAUACCUUUUACGUGUAGCAUUAAAGAGUGUGGGCUGUUGUGUUUUAUCUGGUACUUCAAUGUGAAAAAAUGAAUGUUUUGCUGUGUUCUGAAAGAAUAAAAGUUAUUUAAUCGCAAACUACUAGUAAUCUGAAUAGUGUUAAUAUAUGUUGCGCACUGACAGACACUAGGGUAGAGCCACCGACUUUCUCCAAGCAAGAUGGAUAGCUUCCUCGCUUGCCGAAAUAAAAAUGAGUUCGUUCAGCAAAUAAUUGACGGAUGGACAGACCGGAUGACUAAAUGCUCCCGCCACUUAAAAAAUAACAUUUUAAGAUUGAAACCAUUUAAAAGAAAUAAUGAGAGACAAGCAUCGAAUCAAUUUUCACGCUGACGAAUUGCAAAAAUUUGAUGCUUAAAAUUGCAAAAGAAUUAAUAAUGUCCUGAGCGUCUGUCCGGUGUUAAGUUUUUUUGUUCACCAGCGUUUCUGUCAUUGGUUUUCUUGUAUCAUUGUAUAGGCGAUUAAAUGCAAAUAUUCAUUGUCUGCGAAAUCUUCCAUAAUUGCUGCAUCUAAAACUUAUUCUCGUCCCGAAAUUGGUCUCGACUUACAACCGACAAAUCAAAACAGAUUAGACAAUACGACAAAACUCAUUUAUAGACGAAGAUUAAUAUAUAUGACUUUGAUAUUGUGCAUUGAUGUAACUAAUUAGGUCAUAUAUUUUUUGCGUUUGUCGUAAAGAAAGUAAAGAAAAUUAUUUCUAAUUAUUCAUGGGAACGCAUACCUGUAUCUAAACACAUCAUACAUGUACUAGUUAAAUAAAAUCAGUUUAGUUUAGCGCUGAUUAAUCUGCUUCAGCCAUCUAAUCAUUGUGGGAUUUGGCUUUAGUUUUCAGUCAUAUAUCAUUCUAAGUACACAAUAUUUUCUUUAACAGAGAUUUUCUAGACGGAACACAAAAUUUUACAUUAAUAAACAGCCCCGCCCUUA